ACUCAAAGGAAUUGACGGGGGCUCACACAAGCGGUGGAGCAUGUGGCUUAAUUCGAAGCAACGCGAAGAACCUUACCCGGGUUUGACAUGUACGGAUGUGCCUUGGGGAUAACUCGAGGUCACUACCCGCAAGGGUGAAACGUGCACAGGUGUUGCAUGGCUGUCGUCAGCUCGUGCUGUGAAGUGUCAGGUUAAGUCCUUCAACGAGCGAAACCCCUGUUGCUAGUUGCCAGCGGAUCAUGCCGGGAACUCUAGCAAGACUGCCGGCGUAAGCCGGAGGAAGGUGGGGAUGACGUCAAGUCAUCAUGGCCUUUAUGCCCGGGGAUGCACACGUGCUACAAUGGCGCGUACAAAGCGAUGCAAUAUCGCGAGAUGGAGCAAAUCGCAAAAAACGCGCCCCAGUUCAGAUUGGAGUCUGCAACCCGACUCCAUGAAGUUGGAAUCGCUAGUAAUCGCGGAUCAGCUACGCCGCGGUGAAUGUGUUCCUGAGCCUUGCACACACCGCCCGU
This 509-nucleotide ribosomal RNA is filed under the name uncultured bacterium. Its description in RNAcentral is "partial 16S ribosomal RNA". It matches the Rfam family "Bacterial small subunit ribosomal RNA", at positions 899 to 1397 of the family's 1533-position model. The record is from RNAcentral.